RNAcentral lists this transfer RNA (72 nucleotides) under Elusimicrobiota bacterium. RNAcentral describes it as "Elusimicrobia bacterium (groundwater metagenome) tRNA-Arg". It matches the Rfam family "tRNA". Rfam says of the family: Transfer RNA (tRNA) molecules are approximately 80 nucleotides in length. Their secondary structure includes four short double-helical elements and three loops (D, anti-codon, and T loops). The record is from RNAcentral. Lineage: Bacteria; Pseudomonadati; Elusimicrobiota.
GUCCCCGUAGCUCAAUGGAUAGAGCUCCUGCCUUCUAAGCAGGCGAUACAGGUUCGAUUCCUGUCGGGGACA